AGGACGAACGCUUGCGGCGUGCCUAAGAAAUGCAAGUCGAACGAGGGCUUCGGCCCUAGUGGCGAACGGUCGCGUAACACGUGGGCAACCUGCCCUGAAGCGGGGGACAACAGUUCGAAAGGACUGCUAAUACCGCAUGUGGACGGAGAAGGCAUCUUCUUUGUCUAAAGACUUCGGUCGCUUCAGGAUGGGCCCGCGGCCUAUCAGCUAGUUGGUGGGUAACGCCCACAAGGCUACGACGGGUAGCUGGUCUGAGAGGACGGCCAGCCGGAUUGGGACUGAGAUACGGCCCAGACUCCUACGGGGGGCAGCAAUUAGGAAUCUUGCGCAAUGGGGGCAACCCUGACGCAGCGACGCCGCGUGAAGGAUGAAAUACUUCGGUAUGUAAACUUCUUUAUUUGGGAAGAAGAAUGUGACGGUACCAAAUGAAUAAGCCCCGGCUAACUACGCGCCAGCAGCCGC
Molecule: ribosomal RNA, 462 nt
Filed under: uncultured bacterium
Lineage: Bacteria
Description: SSU rRNA
Rfam family: Bacterial small subunit ribosomal RNA
Source: RNAcentral